Molecule: ribosomal RNA, 472 nt
Filed under: uncultured bacterium
Lineage: Bacteria
Description: partial 16S ribosomal RNA
Rfam family: Bacterial small subunit ribosomal RNA
Source: RNAcentral
GACGAACGCUGGCGGCGUGCUUAACACAUGCAAGUCGAACGCUGAAGCUUGGUGCUUGCACUGGGUGGCUGAGUGGCGAACGGGUGAGUAAUACGUGAGUAACCUGCCCUUGACUCUGGGAUAAGCCUGGGAAACUGGGUCUAAUACUGGAUACGACAUGUCACCGCAUGGUGGUGUGUGGAAAGGGUUUUACUGGUUUUGGAUGGGCUCACGGCCUAUCAGCUUGUUGGUGGGGUAAUGGCUCACCAAGGCGACGACGGGUAGCCGGCCUGAGAGGGUGACCGGCCACACUGGGACUGAGACACGGCCCAGACUCCUACGGGAGGCAGCAGUGGGGAAUAUUGCACAAUGGGCGGAAGCCUGAUGCAGCGACGCCGCGCGAGGGAUGACGGCCUUCGGGUUGUAAACCUCUUUCAGCACGGAAGAAGCGAAAGUGACGGUACGUGCAGAAGAAGCGCCGGCUAACUACGUG